AUGAUGGUGGCAAAAAUGAUGGAAAAGUCACUGGAGUUGAUCAACGCUAGGCUCCAACUUGUUAUGAAAAGUGGAAAGUAUGUCCUGGGGUACAAGCAGAUUCUGAAGAUGAUUAGAUAAGAAAAAGCAAAAUUGGUCAUCCUCACUAACAAGUGCCCAGCUUUGAGGAAAUCCCCAAUAGAGUACUACACCAUGUUGGCCUAAACUGGUGUUCAUCACUACAGUGGUAAUAAUACUGGACUGGGCACAGCAUGUGGAAAAUACUACAGACUGUGCACACUGGCUAUCAUUGAUCCAGGUUAUUCUGAUGUCUUUAGAAGCAUGCCAGAAGAUACUGGUGAAAAGUAA
This 348-nucleotide long non-coding RNA is filed under the name Homo sapiens (human). Its description in RNAcentral is "non-protein coding lnc-ABCD2-8:1". The record is from RNAcentral. Lineage: Eukaryota; Metazoa; Chordata; Mammalia; Primates; Hominidae.